AGUGGAUGGGGAACAACCUAGUUGUGCGUGUGUAAAGGUAGUGCCAAGAAGAGCGGUGAUCAUGAUGAAAAUCAAUUCCCGGUACCCGAAACCGACACAGGUGGGCAAGUAGAGAAUACUAAGGGGCGCGAGGUAACUCUCUCCAAGGAACUCGGCAAAAUGACCCCGUAACCUAGGGAGAAGGGGUGCCACCGAGAGGUGGUCGCAGUGAAGAGGCCCAGGCGACUGUUUAGCAAAAACAUAGGUCUCUGCAAACUCGAAAGAGGAGGUAUAGGGGCUGACGCCUGCCCAGUGCCGGAAGGUUAAAGAAGUUGGUCAGUCUUAGGAUGAAGCUAGCGACUGAAGCCCCGGUGAACGGCGGCCGUAACUAUAACGGUCCUAAGGUAGCGAAAUUCCUUGUCGGGUAAGUUCCGACCCGCACGAAAGGCGUAACGAUCUGGGCGCUGUCUCGGAGAGAGGCUCGGCGAAAUAGGAUUGUCUGUGAAGAUACGGACUACCUGCAUUUGGACAGAAAGACCCUAUGAAGCUUUACUAUAGCUUGGAAUUGUGUUCGGGCUUCCUGUGCGCAGGAUAGGUGGGAGGCGUAGAAGGUAUUCUUGUGGGGAUACUGGAGGCAACGGUGAGAUACCACUCUCAGGAGGCUAGAAUUCUAACUUAAUUAAGGACAGUUUCAGGUGGGUAGUUUGACUGGGGCGGUCGCCUCCAAAAAGGUAACGGAGGCGUACAAAGGUUCCCUCAGACUGGUUGGAAAUCAGUCGCAGAGUGCAAAGGCAGAAGGGAGCUUGACUGCGAGAAGUACAGUUCGAGCAGGGUGGAAACACGGUCUUAGUGAUCCGACGGUGCUGUGUGGAAGGGCCGUCGCUCAACGGAUAAAAGUUACUCUAGGAUAACAGGCUGAUCUCCCCCAAGAGUUCACAUCGACGGGGAGGUUUGGCACCUCGAUGUCGGCUCAUCGCAACCUGGGGCGGAAGUACGUCCCAAGGGUUGGGCUGUUCGCCCAUUAAAGCGGUACGUGAGCUGGGUUCAGAACGUCGUGAGACAGUUCGGUCCAUAUCCGAUGUAGGCGUGAGAAUAUUGAGAGGAGCCUUCCUUAGUACGAGAGGACCGGGAAGGACGCACCGCUGGUGUACCUGUUAUGAUGCCAAUUGUAAACGCAGGGUAGCCAAGUGCGGAGAGGACAACCGCUGAAAGCAUCUAAGUGGGAAGCCCACCUCAAGAUGAGUAUUCUGGUGUAAGGUCACGGGAAGACGACCCGUAAAUAGGCACGAGGUGGAAGUGCAGAGAUGUAUGAAGCCGAAGUGUACUAAUAGACCGUCGGCUUGACCG
This 1326-nucleotide ribosomal RNA is filed under the name metagenome. Its description in RNAcentral is "bacterial LSU rRNA". It matches the Rfam family "Bacterial large subunit ribosomal RNA", at positions 1561 to 2925 of the family's 2925-position model. The record is from RNAcentral.